Long non-coding RNA from Thalassophryne amazonica, 86 nucleotides. RefSeq lists it as uncharacterized. The transcript is spliced from 3 exons. The record is from RefSeq and is a predicted model, not a curated record. NCBI's taxonomy places the organism in Eukaryota, Metazoa, Chordata, Actinopteri, Batrachoidiformes, Batrachoididae.
UUUUGAUCCGGCCAUUAAAUGAGGCAGGCCUCUAUUCAAGGCCAAGCAUUGAAUCGAGGAAAUAUGGAGGGUGUAAAUAAUAAUAG